UACAGAGGGUGCAAGCAUUGUUCGGAAUUAUUGGGCGUAAAGCGCGUGUAGGCGGCUUUGCAAGUCGGGUGUGAAAGCCCUCAGCUCAACUGAGGAAGUGCGCCCGAAACUGCAGAGCUUGAGUGCCGGAGAGGGUGGCGGAAUUCCCCAAGUAGAGGUGAAAUUCGUAGAUAUGGGGAGGAACACCGGUGGCGAAGGCGGCCACCUGGACGGUGACUGACGCUGCGACGCGAAAGCGUGGGGAGCAAACAGG
RNAcentral lists this ribosomal RNA (253 nucleotides) under uncultured bacterium. Its description in RNAcentral is "partial 16S ribosomal RNA". It matches the Rfam family "Bacterial small subunit ribosomal RNA", at positions 524 to 776 of the family's 1533-position model. The record is from RNAcentral.